This 440-nucleotide ribosomal RNA is filed under the name uncultured bacterium. RNAcentral's name for it is "partial 16S ribosomal RNA". It matches the Rfam family "Bacterial small subunit ribosomal RNA", at positions 338 to 795 of the family's 1533-position model. The record is from RNAcentral.
CCUACGGGAGGCAGCAGUAGGGAAUAUUGCUCAAUGGGGGAAACCCUGAAGCAGCAACGCCGCGUGGAGGAUGAAGGCUCUCGGAUUUUUAAACCCCUUUUUUAGAGAAGAUAAUGACGGUACCUAACGAAUAAGCACCGGCUCACUCCGUGCCAGCAGCCGCGGUAAUACGGCGGGUGCCAGCGUUACUCGGAAUCACUGGGCGUAAAGGGCGCGUAGGCGGGAUAGCAAGUCAGAUGUGAAAUCCUAAGGCUUAACCAUAUAACUGCAUUUGAAACUGUUGUUCUAGAGUUUGGGAGAGGUAGGUGGAAUGCUUGGUGUAGGGGUGAAAUGCGUAGAGAUCAAGCAGAAUACUGAUUGCGAAGGCAGCCUGCUAGAUCACAACUGACGCUGAUGCACGAAAGCGUGGGGAGCGAACAGGAUUAGAUACCCGAGUAGUC